CGAUUUGUUUGAUUUCGAUCAAACUUCUCUGUGUCCAGGGCAAUGGAGGUGUGUAUCACCAUACCAUGCCCUCCCCCUUCGACCUUUCUGCCUCUUGGGCUCCUGCCUCUUUCCACCCGCUGCCUCUUCUACCUCCCACACACCCACCUCUUCAUCUGCG
RNAcentral lists this unclassified non-coding RNA (160 nucleotides) under Malassezia yamatoensis. RNAcentral describes it as "partial miscellaneous RNA". The record is from RNAcentral. Lineage: Eukaryota; Fungi; Basidiomycota; Malasseziomycetes; Malasseziales; Malasseziaceae.